RNAcentral lists this ribosomal RNA (484 nucleotides) under uncultured bacterium. Its description in RNAcentral is "partial 16S ribosomal RNA". It matches the Rfam family "Bacterial small subunit ribosomal RNA", at positions 28 to 507 of the family's 1533-position model. The record is from RNAcentral.
AUUGAACGCUGGCGGCAUGCUUUACACAUGCAAGUCGAACGGCAGCGCGGGCUUCGGCCUGGCUGCGAGUGGCGAACGGGUGAGUAAUGCAUCGGAACGUGCCCAGUAGUGGGGUAUAGCCCGGCGAAAGCCGGAUUAAUACCGCAUACGACCUGAGGGUGAAAGCGGGGGACCGAAAGGCCUCGCGCUAUUGGAGCGGCCGAUGUCGGAUUAGCUAGUUGGUGGGGUAAAGGCUUACCAAGGCGACGAUCCGUAGCUGGUCUGAGAGGACGACCAGCCACACUGGGACUGAGACACGGCCCAGACUCCUACGGGAGGCAGCAGUGGGGAAUUUUGGACAAUGGGGGCAAGCCUGAUCCAGCCAUGCCGCGUGCGGGAAGAAGGCCUUCGGGUUGUAAACCGCUUUUGUUCGGGAAGAAAUCCUCUGGGCUAAUACCCCGGGGGGAUGACGGUACCGGAAGAAUAAGCACCGGCUAACUACGUG